This 540-nucleotide transfer RNA is filed under the name uncultured Prochlorococcus sp. RNAcentral describes it as "partial 16S-23S ribosomal RNA intergenic spacer". The stretch from base 211 to 283 matches the Rfam family "tRNA". Lineage: Bacteria; Bacillati; Cyanobacteriota; Cyanophyceae; Synechococcales; Prochlorococcaceae. The record is from RNAcentral.
CAGGGAGACAACAAAAUGUUUAAUAUUAUUAUUUUGUCACCUUAGGUCGAUCGGUAUCUCACGUUCUUAAUUUAUUAAGAAUUUCAUUCCCUAAGUUUUUCUAGGUCACACCCAUUUUUUUCCUGGGCCAUUAGCUCAGGUGGUUAGAGCGCACCCCUGAUAAGGGUGAGGUCCCUGGUUCAAGUCCAGGAUGGCCCAUAUCUCUAUGUUGGGGGUAUAGCUCAGUUGGUAGAGCGCCUGCUUUGCAAGCAGGAUGUCAGCGGUUCGAGUCCGCUUACCUCCACUGAUUACCACCUCUUCCAUAAUCUGUAGAAAGGAAAAAAUUUUGAGUUAUGACCAUUAUUCUGGACGAAUCCAGCUUCCUAAUGAAAUCAUUAAGACGCUGGACUCAUUGAAUUAAUUUCAUUGUUUUCAGAGAACCUUGACAACUGCAUAGAUUAUUUUAAAGACAAUAAGCAUCUUUAAUGAUGCAGAUUUAUUAUUUGUGCAAAUGCAUUAAUAACAAUUCUAUUAAGCUGAUGCUUCAAUUUUGAAGUUAUU